RNAcentral lists this ribosomal RNA (193 nucleotides) under uncultured Gammaproteobacteria bacterium. RNAcentral describes it as "partial 16S rRNA". It matches the Rfam family "Bacterial small subunit ribosomal RNA", at positions 338 to 524 of the family's 1533-position model. The record is from RNAcentral. Lineage: Bacteria; Pseudomonadati; Pseudomonadota; Gammaproteobacteria.
CCUACGGGAGGCAGCAGUGGGGAAUAUUGUGCAAUGGGCGCAAGCCUGAUGCAGCCUGCCGCGUGUGUGAAGAAGGCUUUCGGGUUGUAAAGCACUUUCAUCAGUGAGGAAAGGUUAGUAGUUAAUACCUGCUAGCUGUGACGUUAACUGAAGAAGAAGCACCGGCUAACUCCGUGCCAGCAGCCGCGGUAAU